Molecule: unclassified non-coding RNA, 316 nt
Filed under: uncultured soil eukaryote
Lineage: Eukaryota
Description: sequence contains ITS2
Source: RNAcentral
UAUCUCUCCUAUACCAACGUUUUUUUGUUGGAGUCAUAUAGGGACUUGGGGUCUGUAUCGUCGGAAACUUUUUUUAUAAGCAACCGGUGAACCCUUCAAAUAUAGUAAGCUCCCAUCAGUAUUCCAAACUUUUAUGGAAAUACGCAAACCUGGGGAUGGCGUCGUAGCAAUCACUCUUAUACAGUAUUGUCGAAGCGCCUAUAACAUACCUCUAAACUGCGGUGCUAAUCCAUAAAACGUGCGCUGACUUGGGCGAAGCUUAGCGACUGGCAAAGUGCCAUGCUCCACUACUAUACUUUCGGAGCACACGAACAAC